Molecule: ribosomal RNA, 730 nt
Filed under: uncultured bacterium
Lineage: Bacteria
Description: bacterial SSU rRNA
Rfam family: Bacterial small subunit ribosomal RNA
Source: RNAcentral
AACAGGAUUAGAUACCCUGGUAGUCCACGCUGUAAACGAUGUCGACUUGGAGGUUGUUCCCUUGAGGAGUGGCUUCCGGAGCUAACGCGUUAAGUCGACCGCCUGGGGAGUACGGCCGCAAGGUUAAAACUCAAAUGAAUUGACGGGGGCCCGCACAAGCGGUGGAGCAUGUGGUUUAAUUCGAUGCAACGCGAAGAACCUUACCUACUCUUGACAUCCAGAGAACUUAGCAGAGAUGCUUUGGUGCCUUCGGGAACUCUGAGACAGGUGCUGCAUGGCUGUCGUCAGCUCGUGUUGUGAAAUGUUGGGUUAAGUCCCGCAACGAGCGCAACCCUUAUCCUUUGUUGCCAGCGGUUAGGCCGGGAACUCAAAGGAGACUGCCAGUGAUAAACUGGAGGAAGGUGGGGAUGACGUCAAGUCAUCAUGGCCCUUGCGAGUAGGGCUACACACGUGCUACAAUGGCGCAUACAAAGAGAAGCGACCUCGCGAGAGCAAGCGGACCUCAUAAAGUGCGUCGUAGUCCGGAUUGGAGUCCGCAACUCGACUCCAUGAAGUCGGAAUCGCUAGUAAUCGUGGAUCAGAAUGCCACGGUGAAUACGUUCCCGGGCCUUGUACACACCGCCCGUCACACCAUGGGAGUGGGUUGCAAAAGAAGUAGGUAGCUUAACCUUCGGGAGGGCGCUUACCACUUCGUGAUUCAUGACUGGGGUGAAGUCGUAACAAGGUAACC